Long non-coding RNA from Rhododendron vialii, 1068 nucleotides. RefSeq lists it as uncharacterized. The transcript has 2 exons. The record is from RefSeq and is a predicted model, not a curated record. NCBI's taxonomy places the organism in Eukaryota, Viridiplantae, Streptophyta, Magnoliopsida, Ericales, Ericaceae.
UAUUGCAUAGAAUAAGUUGCAUGCACCAAAAAUAAAAGGAAAAGCUACCACCAAAGAAGCAUACUGAUAUCCACCCCUGCAAAACUCCAUGCAUUUUUGGAUCUUGAAUUUGAACAAAGAGAACAUAAGAGGAGAUUUUAUGAUCACUAGGUUACUAAAAUCUCUAAAAUGUCUAGUUUCUAAAUACCGAAGGGCGGUCCGAGUAUAACACAACUUAACAGACUUAUCCUCCGGGCUCGGAGGUUCGAAUAUUACUUGAGGCUAUUGAAAGUAACCUCGUCAUUGAUUUUAAGACCGUAACGUUUGUUGAAACAUGCAAAAGAUGACACAGACAUCCCGUUACAGGAAAAAAAAUGUCGCUGUUCCGUAACAGCAGUGACUAUAUAUAUAUAUCAGUAUGAAUACUGGAACUUAACGGUUACUAGUCACUUUCUGAUGUGUCUAAAUACAACAAGUGGCACUGACAUGGUAUUUUUUGGCCAUUAUCUGCACACUUGGAGUGGUUGAGUUCAGCUGUCAAAUUAAUGAAUCCCCCUUGAGGAAAUUUCUCAAACAUUUUUGACAGGUGGGAAUUCGGUUGGAGAUUCACGGCACAAGAAUGGGAAAGCAGAAUUUGAAAUUGAAGGCCAUGAAUGGAUAAGAUAAUCCGAGGAUAAGAUAACAGCUGUGGGCAAACAAAUAGCAGUAGUGUUUCUGGUUUCCGGGCUAGCUUACGCGUCUCUUCAAUAGAUGGUUUGUACUAUCAAAACGAGGCUCGAUCCAGCAAACCGUGCAUGUUUAUUUUUUCGUAUUCAUAAGAAAUCUCAAUAGACAAAGCAAACUUUUUCCAGAUUUUAUCACCUGAAUCGCCUUAGUUUCCGACGUCCUCUGCCUCGUUCUUCUCUUCUCUAUACCAAACAAUCCAGCGACUUCUAUAGCUUCUCCAAUGUAGUAAUGUACCACAGUGUUAUGUAUUUUUUAUAACUCAGGUGUCCGGGAACAACCGUGUUAUGUUGGUAGGAGCUGUAGGCAUCACAAAUUUGCAGACUCUGCGCUAUACGGAAAAAAAAAAAAACGAAAGAAAGAAAG